RNAcentral lists this long non-coding RNA (597 nucleotides) under Anas zonorhyncha (Eastern spot-billed duck). Its description in RNAcentral is "lncRNA (ENSAZOG00000012821.1)". Lineage: Eukaryota; Metazoa; Chordata; Aves; Anseriformes; Anatidae. The record is from RNAcentral.
CAGGAUCCCCUUAUCCCAUAUUAGGCCCUUUUUACCCCAAAACGGCCUCAUUACCUCAAAACAGAACCCCAUUACCCCUUAUCACAACCCUGUUGUCCCAUAUUGGGCCCUUUUUACCCCAAAAUGGCCCCAUUACCUCCUAUCAGGCCCCCAUUACCUCACACCAGCCCCGUUAUCUCAUAUCUGGACCCCACUGUCCCAUUUUGGGCCCCUUUUACCCCAAAACAGCCCCCUUACCUCCCCCAACCCCCUCAUUCCCCACCAGGACCCCAUUACCUUUUUUUGGGACCCCAUCACCCCAUUUUGGGACCCUUUUUCCUCAUUUUGGGACCCCAUGACUUCACUUUGAGCCCCCUUUACCCCAAACCCGCCCCGUUACCCUACCCCAGGACCCCCUCACCUCAUUUGGGGACCCCAUCACCACAUUUUGGGACCCUUUUUCCGCAUUUUGGGACCCCCUCACCUGGUUUUAGGACCCCUUUACCUCACUUUAGGGCCCUCUCACCUCAUUUUGGGACCCCCCACCUCAUUCUGGGGCCCUUUUACCUCAUUUUGGGACCCCUCACCUCAAACCGGGGCACUUUUACCUCAUUUUAG